Molecule: ribosomal RNA, 397 nt
Filed under: uncultured bacterium
Lineage: Bacteria
Description: partial 16S ribosomal RNA
Rfam family: Bacterial small subunit ribosomal RNA
Source: RNAcentral
AUACGUAGGUGGCAAGCGUUGUCCGGAAUUAUUGGGCGUAAAGCGCGCGCAGGCGGUCCUUUAAGUCUGAUGUGAAAGCCCACGGCUCAACCGUGGAGGGUCAUUGGAAACUGGGGGACUUGAGUGCAGAAGAGGAAAGUGGAAUUCCAAGUGUAGCGGUGAAAUGCGUAGAGAUUUGGAGGAACACCAGUGGCGAAGGCGACUUUCUGGUCUGGAACUGACGCUGAGGCGCGAAAGCGAGGGGAGCAAAGAGGAUUAGAUACCCUGGUAGUCCACGCCGUAAACGAUGAGUGCUAAGUGUUAGGGGGUUUCCGCCCCUUAGUGCUGCAGCUAACGCAUUAAGCACUCCGCCUGGGGAGUACGGUCGCAAGACUGAAACUCAAAUGAAUUGACGGGG